GGUGGUUCUCAGGUGACACACCCUGGAAUCAGGCUCCAUCCUCUCUGGUCCCGGGGGCAUCACCCGAGAACCGCA
Non-coding RNA from Myotis davidii, 75 nucleotides. Lineage: Eukaryota; Metazoa; Chordata; Mammalia; Chiroptera; Vespertilionidae. The record is from Rfam.